CAAUAGCGUAUAUUAAAGUUGUUGCGGUUAAAAAAGCUCGUAGUUGGAUUUCUGCCGAGGACGACCGGUCCGCCCUCUGGGUGAGUAUCUGGCUUGGCCUGGGCAUCUUCUUGGAGAACGUAGCUGCACUUGACUGUGUGGUGCGGUAUCCAGGACUUUUACUUUGAGGAAAUUAGAGUGUUUCAAGCAGGCAUGCGCCUUGAAUACAUUAGCAUGGAAUAAUAAGAUAGGACCUCGGUUCUAUUUUGUUGGUUUCUAGAGCUGAGGUAAUGAUUAAUAGGGACAGUUGGGGGGUAUUUCGUAUUGCAAUUGUCAGAAGGUGAAAUUGCUUAGGAUUUCUGCAAAGACGAACUACUGCGAAAGCAUUUACCAAGGAUGUUUUCAUUAUCAAGAACGAAAGUUAGGGGAUCGAAGACGAUUAGAU
Molecule: ribosomal RNA, 424 nt
Filed under: uncultured eukaryote
Lineage: Eukaryota
Description: SSU rRNA
Rfam family: Eukaryotic small subunit ribosomal RNA
Source: RNAcentral